ACCCUCCCACUAAUUACAAACACGAAACAGGUGCGCACAAACAGACAUAAACUAACAGACACAUGAAACAUGGAUCGGUGGCAGCUAGUAGGCCGGUGACGACGACCGCAGAGCCCCGCUCGACGGGGGAGCAGCGCCACCUUCUGUGGACGUUGUGACAGUAUCUGUCCAAGUACCAAGUACUGUCCACUCUGGGAUUCCUCGCUACUGGGACAUUCCAGAGGGAAAUGAGUGACAGGUAUAUCACAGCCAUCAUUCAGCCGCAUCCUGCCAUAAGUGAUUCGAGGCGAUUCUACACGUAUUGUCCAUGAGAUUGACAUUAGUUCCCCCAUUUACAGCCGACGAACGCUCUCAUUUAAUUUCCCAGGGGGUCAUAGGUGCAGUUGACUGCGCGCAUAUUGCCUUACGCUCACCGUCUGUAGAUGAACGUGUAGGUGUUAAACGGGAAUAAUUUCCAUUCAUUGAAUGUUCAGAUCUGCGAUGCCUGUAUGCAACUACUCAAUGUGGCCAGGGUCUACGAACAAAUCAUACAUUCUACGCCACAGCUGAGUAGGUCUGCGUCUAGAAGCUGGUGGCUUCUCGUGAGUAAUUGGGUUUUUUCUCCUCCAGUGUAUAAUAGCCUAUUAACCGUGUUAGGGUUGAACUGGCUAUUUGUAUGCAUAACUUAUAUAAUAUACCGGGGAAGCUAUGCUACAAUAUUAAGUAUAUAAACUACGAGUAAAUCAACUUUUGAAGACAAGAAGAACUACAACCGGCAACAGGAAGUGCGUCACGACGCUGGGAUCAGCCUGCACGCCGACGACAGGAGGAGCAAGUUUAAACCACGCUCCUCCUCCCUCGGACAGACCAGCAUUGAGCGGGAAAUAUCUCUGUCAGAGAAUAAAAGAGAGAACAAAGGAGGUGUCGUUCUCUUCUCUGUUUUGCCCUGCGAGGUGACCGGGGCUAUCCACUGAAAACGUGGCUUCUCACUCCCCUUUUCCGAUCCCCAAACAGGAAAUGACGCUACAAUUUGGCUCUCGGCAGAACAAAGGUCGGUUGUGGACUGCUGAACUCCUCUACAAGCCACAGAAGAUAAUUUAAGUUUUGUAUUUUUUAUUAAAUGAAGUUUAGUUUUUUUUUUUAAUUGGUCAACUUGCAAAAUAUACCAACAUUUUAUAUUUAGUAUUGUAUUGAAAUUGCACACCCAAAGGUUCUGGCCAAAAUAGCUGAAAAACAGUUUUUAACUUGUCCCUAUGGUUACUGAAACUGUGAGCAUCAGAGGUGAACCGGUUGCAUACACGGCUCGAGCAAGACCUUCAUCAGCAUUUCUCUGUGUCAGGAAUCCCGCUUCCUGAGUCUGUUUCUGCCUGAGCUGUUUUUUGUUGUUGUUUGGAGUGUUGUCUAAGGUUCCUUGAACGCACCCGGUCUGGUUGCCAGGCAACGAAGUUAGGCGGGAGAUCUAGUAAUUACCCGCACCUGCAUCUCAUCAACCUUCUGCACACCUGGUCUUGAUCAUCACCUCUUCUUAAACCCUGAGCUGACAUCCAUGACCCUGCCGGAUCGUUAGCAACGAACGUGACGUCAUUGGAUCUGCCUAUUCACUCUCAUCAACUCACCUCCGCUGCCGCUCCGUCUCCUGGAUCACUCAAUAUACCCAUCAAGACUACCAAUAAAUACUCACCUUCAUUUUACUCACCUUGUCCUGGUCUGCUUCUGGGUUCUUGUCUUAGAGAAUCGUGACACUCUGACAACUUCUGAUUCCAGGAGGACCGUGAUCUGUUACUAUCGAUAAGGUGUCUGAUUCAUCAUUUUCACCUCCAAUAGAAGUAGAGGGACUUUAGUCAGAGGUUGCUUGUUGUGAGCGCUGAGGGAACUUUAUGCACUUGGCCAGAUAAUUCUGCAUCUUUGUUGCAUACUUCACAUAUGAUUUGGCCCAGUAUUUGCAAAUGUACACAGCUGUAAUGACCGUCGUCGCAAUGAGACCAAGGUGCAGCGGAG
This 1977-nucleotide long non-coding RNA is filed under the name Salmo salar (Atlantic salmon). Its description in RNAcentral is "lncRNA (ENSSSAG00000113178.1)". The record is from RNAcentral. Lineage: Eukaryota; Metazoa; Chordata; Actinopteri; Salmoniformes; Salmonidae.